UGAGGCUUUCAGCCCCCGAGUUGUAAUUUGAAGAUGGUGUUCUGGCGCCGGCCCCCUGUCUACGUUCCUUGGAACAGGACAUCACAGAGGGUGAGAAUCCCGUCUGGCGGGGCGGCCUGGCUCCGUGUAGAGCGCCAUCGACGAGUCGAGUUGUUUGGGAAUGCAGCUCUAAGUGGGUGGUAAAUUCCAUCUAAAGCUAAAUAUUGGCGAGAGACCGAUAGCGAACAAGUACAGUGAUGGAAAGAUGAAAAGAACUUUGAAAAGAGAGUGAAAAAGUACGUGAAAUUGUUGAAAGGGAAGGGUAUUGGAUCAGACUUGGUGCUGUGCGAAUAGCGGCUCUUCUUGGGCCGCCCACUCGCACUCCACCGGGCCAGCAUCGGUUUGGGCGGCAAGACAAUGGCGGGGGAACGUGGCACUGCUCUCGGGCAGUGUGUUUAUAGCCCCCGCUGAUGUUGCCUGCCUAGACCGAGGACUGCGGCUUCUGCCUAGGAUGCUGGCGUAAUGAUCCAACACCGCCCGUCUUGAAACAUGGACCAAGGAGUCUAACGUCUAUGCGAGUGUUUGGGUGUAAAACCCGUACGCGUAAUGAAAGUGAACGUAGGUGAGGGCCCUUUCUGGGUGCAUCAUCGACCGAUCCUGAUGUCUUCGGAUGGAUUUGAGUAAGAGCAUAGCUGUUGGGACCCGAAAGAUGGUGAACUAUGCCUGAAUAGGGUGAAGCCAGAGGAAACUCUGGUGGAGGCUCGUAGCGGUUCUGACGUGCAAAUCGAUCGUCGAAU
RNAcentral lists this ribosomal RNA (776 nucleotides) under Williopsis jadinii. RNAcentral describes it as "LSU rRNA". It matches the Rfam family "Eukaryotic large subunit ribosomal RNA", at positions 123 to 910 of the family's 3401-position model. Lineage: Eukaryota; Fungi; Ascomycota; Saccharomycetes; Phaffomycetales; Wickerhamomycetaceae. The record is from RNAcentral.